This 202-nucleotide long non-coding RNA is filed under the name Coffea arabica (coffee). RNAcentral's name for it is "long non-coding RNA (CARA_LNC005466)". The record is from RNAcentral. Lineage: Eukaryota; Viridiplantae; Streptophyta; Magnoliopsida; Gentianales; Rubiaceae.
CCUCAAGCUUAACCAAAGUUCCUCUUGGAAGAGGUUGUAGGAGAUCUACUUCCACCAUAAUCUUCAUAUGUCUCCCGGAUUUCCCCCCCCCCUGGUGGAACUAGAACCUCCCUAACAGAUUUAAAAACCUUUCCUACCUUAAAACCCACUGACUUACACAACCAGUGAACUGGGAGAUUCCAGACUUGAACCCAUAGGUGAG